RNAcentral lists this ribosomal RNA (496 nucleotides) under uncultured bacterium. Its description in RNAcentral is "partial 16S ribosomal RNA". It matches the Rfam family "Bacterial small subunit ribosomal RNA", at positions 28 to 507 of the family's 1533-position model. The record is from RNAcentral.
GAUGAACGCUGGCGGCGUGCCUAAUACAUGCAAGUAGAACGCUGAAGGAGGAGCUUGCUCUUUCCGGAUGAGUUGCGAACGGGUGAGUAACGCGUAGGUAACCUGCCUGGUAGCGGGGGAUAACUAUUGGAAACGAUAGCUAAUACCGCAUAACAGUAGAUAUUGCAUGAUAUUUGCUUGAAAGGGGCAAUUGCUCCACUACCAGAUGGACCUGCGUUGUAUUAGCUAGUUGGUGAGGUAACGGCUCACCAAGGCGACGAUACAUAGCCGACCUGAGAGGGUGAUCGGCCACACUGGGACUGAGACACGGCCCAGACGCCUACGGGAGGCAGCAGGAGGGAAUCUUCGGCAAUGGACGGAAGUCUGACCGAGCAACGCCGCGUGAGUGAAGAAGGUUUUCGGAUCGUAAAGCUCUGUUGUAAGAGAAGAACGAGUGUGAGAGUGGAAAGUUCACACUGUGACGGUAUCUUACCAGAAAGGGACGGCUAACUACGUG